Molecule: long non-coding RNA, 353 nt
Filed under: Sus scrofa (pig)
Lineage: Eukaryota; Metazoa; Chordata; Mammalia; Artiodactyla; Suidae
Description: lncRNA (ENSSSCG00070023818.1)
Source: RNAcentral
GCUGGAUGACGUGCCUGCGGUGAGGGUGGCGGGACGGCCUCCAUUCGCUCCGCGGGUGGCCUUCAUGGUGAACAAAACACAUGACCCCGAGUACCCGAGGCGGAAGGUGUCCGGCAUCAGUGCUCAGAAAGUUGUUCCACCUUCCACCAAGAUGCUGGAUGAGGAGGACACUGACAAAGACGGGAUGAGUUUGGAGGUCGACACUCCAGUGACGAACCAUCGGGGUGACGACGACGAUGACGAAGAAGAGAGACGCGUCAGCUUCGUGGAGGACAAAGGCCACCCCCUCUGCAGAGCUUCUCUGCGUUCAUGCAUUCUCCCUUGACCACCGCUGCUCCCAAGUUGGCUCAAUG